UACGAAGGGGGCGAGCGUUAUUCGGAAUCACUGGGCGUAAAGCGUGCGUAGGCUGUUUUGUAAGUCAGAAGUGAAAGCCCAGGGCUUAACCCUGAAAUUGCUUUUGAAACUACAAGACUCGAAUUCGGGAGAGGAUAGCGGAAUUGUCAGUGUAGCAGUGAAAUGCGUAGAUAUUGACAGGAACACCAGUGGCGCAAGCGGCUAUCUGGACCGAUAUUGACGCUGAGGCACGAAAGCGUGGGGAGCAAACAGGAUUAGAUACCCUGGUAGUCCACGCCGAAAGCGAUGUGAGUUUGUCGCUGGGAAGCUUAGCUUUUCGGUGACGUAGUUAACGCGUUAAACUCACCGCCUGGGAAGUACGGCCGCAAGGUUAAA
This 375-nucleotide ribosomal RNA is filed under the name uncultured bacterium. RNAcentral's name for it is "bacterial SSU rRNA". It matches the Rfam family "Bacterial small subunit ribosomal RNA", at positions 524 to 898 of the family's 1533-position model. The record is from RNAcentral.